AUUGAACGCUGGCGGCAUGCCUUACACAUGCAAGUCGAACGGCAGCACGGGUGCUUGCACCUAGUGGCGAGUGGCGCACGGGUGAGUAAUACAUCGGAACAUGUCCUGUAGUGGGGGAUAGCCCGGCGAAAGCCGGAUUAAUACCGCAUACGAUCUACGGAUGAAAGCGGGGGACCAUCGGGCCUCGCGCUAUAGGGUUGGCCGAUGGCUGAUUCGCUAGUUGGUGGGGUAAAGGCCUACCAAGGCGACGAUCAGUAGCUGGUCUGAGAGGACGACCAGCCACACUGGGACUGGAACACGGCCCAGACUCCGACGGGAGGCAGCGGUGGGGAAUUUUGGACGAUGGGCGAAAUCCUGAUCCAUCAAUGCCGCGUGUGUGAAGAAGGCCUUCGUGUUGUAUAGCACUUUUGUCCGGAAAGAAAUCUUUGGCCCUAAUACGGUCGUGGGAUGACGGUACCGGAAGAAUAAGCACCGGCUAACUACGUG
This 486-nucleotide ribosomal RNA is filed under the name uncultured bacterium. RNAcentral's name for it is "partial 16S ribosomal RNA". It matches the Rfam family "Bacterial small subunit ribosomal RNA", at positions 30 to 507 of the family's 1533-position model. The record is from RNAcentral.